UCAAGAGUACGUGAAACCGUUCAGGGGUAAACCUGAGAAACCCAAAAGUUCGAAUGGAGAGAUUCAUCGUCAGCGAUCCUGGCAAUUGUGCGGUUCGCGAUGUCGGAGACUUCGGUCUCGCGGCACGCGUCCGUAUGAUUUAUUUGCCGGGUGUCGUCGUCGUGCACUUCUCCCCUAGUAGGACGUCGCGACCCGUUGGGUGUCGGUCUACGACCCGGGUGGGCGCCCGUCAUGUGUCACGCUUUACGGCGUCAUGUGGCAGACCCCCGGUUGUCUGACCAGCUGCCCGGCGGUACUCGCACGGUAUCGAGUCGCAAUUAUAUUGCGUCCGGCCCGCCGCAAGCGAGGCCAGUGUUCCCGGAUGCACGGACUUAGUGCCGUCACCGGGCCUGGCCAGCUGUUGGCCGGCGGUGUCCUAGGACUGGCUCAUAAUAUAUACCGGUCGGCGACGCUACUGCUUUGGGUACUUUCAGGACCCGUCUUGAAA
This 487-nucleotide ribosomal RNA is filed under the name Campoletis sonorensis. Its description in RNAcentral is "eukaryotic LSU rRNA". Lineage: Eukaryota; Metazoa; Arthropoda; Insecta; Hymenoptera; Ichneumonidae. The record is from RNAcentral.